Molecule: long non-coding RNA, 1648 nt
Organism: Oncorhynchus nerka (sockeye salmon)
Lineage: Eukaryota; Metazoa; Chordata; Actinopteri; Salmoniformes; Salmonidae
Exons: 2
Source: RefSeq, a predicted model, not a curated record
UGCGUUGCCCCUCCAGUCAGCAGAUGGCGAUGUGCGUCUUUUAGGUUCAGGCGACGCUGCCAGUGUGACGUAUAAUCUAGUGGACGGGACGCUCCUACAACAACAACAGUUAGACACCUCGGUAGCUUUCUAGCAAACAUAGCUACAACAUUCACUCUCUUUACACUGUUUUGGUGUAUAUUAGUCGCUGUGUAUUAACCACACUUCUGUCGUAUGUACGUGUUGGCCCAUUUAAUUAUAUAUUUACGUUGUUUGUCAGCUAGCUGGUUUGCUAAAUUAGCUUAGAACUAGGCUAGUUGCUAAUGCUAGCUAGCGAACAUCUCCGACCAUGAGUUCACUAAGCUACUCUCCUCCUGCUAAAGAAGAGGAGGUCUUCUGGACGGAGAAAGAAGCUCUCCUGAAAGAGGAGGAGGAAGAGAAGGAUGUUACAAUACAAAAACAAGUAGAGGGUGAGGCUGUUACCGUGAAAGAAGAAGAGAAAGACGUUUCAGUGAAAGAAAAGGAAGACUCGUUCGGAGUGAAAGAGGAGGAGGAUGUUACAGUAAAAGAAGAGGAAGCGGAGAGAGAGGAGGAUGCAGUUUUUGGAGUGAAAGAGGAGGAGGGGAGAUGACUGUCACAUCGAAAAAGGAGGAGGAGGACGAAGAAGAGGAAACUGGAUAUCUGGGCCCGGUUUCCCCAACGCAUCUUAAGGCAUCCUAUGGUUCUGACGGUGAACUCAGCCGUAAGAUGGUUUUGAGAAACCGGGCCGUGAUUAACACUAGAGAGAGACGUGACUAUCGUGGAUCCUCUGGGGAGCCUCAACAACAUCAUGAAGCUGACGAGGCAGAGAAGAGUCCCUCCCGAUCAGAACACCUCAAGAAACACCAGUGGAGACCAACAGGGAAGAAAUCUCACUGCUGCUCUGACUGUGGGAAGAGUUACUUAAGAUUAAAUUAACUAAAAGUACACAUGAGAAUUCACACUGGAGAGAAACCUUAUAGCUGUGAUCAAUGUGGGAAGAGUUUUACUCAGUCAAGCAGCCUGUUAUCUCACCAGAGAACACACACAGGAGAGAAACCUUACAGCUGUGAUCAAUGUGGGAAGAGUUUUACUCAGUCAAGCAACCUGGUAUCACACCAGAGAACACACACAGGAGAGAAACCUUACAGCUGUUAUCAAUGUGGGAAGAGUUUUACUCAGUCAAGCAACCUGGUAUCACACCAGAGAACACACACAGGAGAGAAAUCUUAUAGCUGUGAUCAAUGUGGGAAGAGUUUUACUUCAUCUAGUCAUCUGAUUAUACACCAGAGAACACACACAGGAGAUAAAUCUCAUAGCUGUGAUCAAUGUGAGAAGAGAUACUCUGAUAAAAGAUCUCUGAUCAAACAUCAGAAAAUACAUUAAUGAUGGAGUUGUUUCAUGAUAUCAAUGAAUUAACGUCACAAUGUAGAGUGUUUAAACAUUGUAGUAGGAGUAUUUUAAUGAUGUCACAAUGUAGAAUGUUUUAACAUUGUAGUAGGAGUAUUUUAAUGAUGUCACAAUGUAGAAUGUUUUAACAUUGUAGUAGGAGUAUUUUAAUGAUGUCACAAUGUAGAAUGUUUUAACAUUGUAGAAGGAGUAUUUUAAUGAUGUCACAAUGUAGAACACUAAACGUUUGCUCCCUGUUCAA